AACGCACCUUGCGCUCGCUGGUAUUCCGGCGAGCAUGCCUGUUUGAGUGUCAUGAACUCUUCAACCCUCCAAUUCCUUGUUUGAAUUGCGAGGUGUUUGGAUCUUGAACAUUGCUGGCUUUCAAAGUCUAGCUUGUUUGUAAUGCAUUAGCAUCUCAAUUUGAAUUUAAUUCGGUUUGACUUGGCGUGAUAGACUUUUUAUAUUCGCUGAGGACACUUCAUCUAGUGGCCGAAUUUCAGACUGGAAGCUUCUAAUACCCAAUUCUGAAAAGUCUAAUAUAAGAUUAGACCUCAGAUCAGGCAGGACUACCCGCUGAACUUAA
This 322-nucleotide unclassified non-coding RNA is filed under the name uncultured fungus. RNAcentral's name for it is "partial contains 5.8S ribosomal RNA, internal transcribed spacer 2, and large subunit ribosomal RNA". The stretch from base 1 to 52 matches the Rfam family "5.8S ribosomal RNA", at positions 103 to 154 of the family's 154-position model. Lineage: Eukaryota; Fungi. The record is from RNAcentral.